Molecule: ribosomal RNA, 292 nt
Filed under: uncultured bacterium
Lineage: Bacteria
Description: partial 16S ribosomal RNA
Rfam family: Bacterial small subunit ribosomal RNA
Source: RNAcentral
GUGCCAGCAGCCGCGGUAAUACGUGGGGUGCGAGCGUUAUCCGGAUUUACUGGGCGUAAAGAGUUCGUAGGCGUCUGGUAAAGUUUCGUUUGAAAGACCGAGGCUUAACCUCGGAAACGGACGAAAUACUUAUCAGAUCGAGUUAGUUAGGGGGUACUGGAACUGUCGGUGUAGCAGUGAAAUGCGUUGAUAUCGACAGGAACACCAAGGGCGAAGGCAGGUACCUGGGACUUAACUGACGCUGAGGAACGAAAGCUAGGGGAGCGAAAGGGAUUAGAUACCCUCGUAGUCC